This 942-nucleotide ribosomal RNA is filed under the name Escherichia coli. RNAcentral describes it as "bacterial SSU rRNA". It matches the Rfam family "Bacterial small subunit ribosomal RNA", at positions 527 to 1468 of the family's 1533-position model. Lineage: Bacteria; Pseudomonadati; Pseudomonadota; Gammaproteobacteria; Enterobacterales; Enterobacteriaceae. The record is from RNAcentral.
GGCGGGUGCAAAAAUUAAUGAGAACCCCCCGGAGUAAAGCGCACGCAGGCUGUUUUGUUAAGUCAGAUGUGAAAUCGCUUGGCUCAACGUGGGAACUGCAUCUGAUACUGGCAAGCCUGAGUCUCGUAGAGGCGGGUAGAAUUCCAGGUGUAGCGGUGAAAUGCGUAGAGAUCUGGAGGAAUACCGGUGGCGAAGGCGGCCCCCUGGACGAAGACUGACGCUCAGGUGCGAAAGCGUGGGGAGCAAACAGGAUUAGAUACCCUGGUACUCCACGCCGUAAACGAUGUCGACUUGGAGGUUGUGCCCUUGAGGCGUGGCUUCCGGAGCUAACGCGUUAAGUCGACCGCCUGGGGAGUACGGCCGCAAGGUUAAAACUCAAAUGAAUUGACGGGGGCCCGCACAAGCGGUGGAGCAUGUGGUUUAAUUCGAUGCAACGCGAAGAACCUUACCUGGUCUUGACAUCCACGGAAGUUUUCAGAGAUGAGAAUGUGCCUUCGGGAACCGUGAGACAGGUGCUGCAUGGCUGUCGUCAGCUCGUGUUGUGAAAUGUUGGGUUAAGUCCCGCAACGAGCGCAACCCUUAUCCUUUGUUGCCAGCGGUCCGGCCGGGAACUCAAAGGAGACUGCCAGUGAUAAACUGGAGGAAGGUGGGGAUGACGUCAAGUCAUCAUGGCCCUUACGACCAGGGCUACACACGUGCUACAAUGGCGCAUACAAAGAGAAGCGACCUCGCGAGAGCAAGCGGACCUCAUAAAGUGCGUCGUAGUCCGGAUUGGAGUCUGCAACUCGACUCCAUGAAGUCGGAAUCGCUAGUAAUCGUGGAUCAGAAUGCCACGGUGAAUACGUUCCCGGGCCUUGUACACACCGCCCGUCACACCAUGGGAGUGGGUUGCAAAAGAAGUAGGUAGCUUAACCUUCGGGAGGGCGCUACCACCUAUAAGUU